UUCCGUUGUGCCCUAACCCUCGCCUGCUCUCAUGGCCUCCUCCCUCCUGGAGGAGCCGUAAUCCCAUUUCCGCUUCUUUUAUCCUUCCUCGCUGCCAUUCUUCUCAUACCUUCUCUGAGGAUAUCCGCAGAGGCCACCGUUUUCUUUGCCCAAACCGUCUUCCCUUGCCGCUGCCGACCUCACAAGUAAAAAUUCCUCCAUUUUUUGUUAAUUUUAUUUAUUUAUUCGGAAAUUUUCCAUGGCUCUGGGCUGUUUCUUCCUGUGAAUUUUUUUAGAAAAAAAAUUAUUUUCUCUCUCUUUUGACUGGAUUUAGUUUUUCUUGUAUUAGUUUAAAGAAAAAUCUUGGUGUUCCAUAUAACGCAGGCUAGUUCUGCUAACUGAGGCGAUCUUAAGUUGUUCUUGCUGAAAAUUGGUUAAGUUUAUGAUUUUACGUUGUGAAAGUUAGCCCUAGAAUAUGAUUUCUAGUGCUAAUUUGUUAAUUUAGUAUGUGUAAGUGACUGGGACAAUUUAGAUGCUAGAAAUAAUGAUGCUGUUGAAAAAUUGUACCGGUAUGACAGCAUGCACUCGAGAAUAAGAUUUACCGUGGGAGGUGGGGUUGGAUAAGGCAAUGUAUAAGUCUCAGAAGAUUGUGGUCAUUUGGCUCUGUUCUUCGCUAAUUUAUGUCUUAUUGUAUUUUGUACUUUAGUUUGGUGACUACUGCCUGGU
This 705-nucleotide long non-coding RNA is filed under the name Elaeis guineensis (African oil palm). RNAcentral's name for it is "long non-coding RNA (EGUI_LNC062708)". The record is from RNAcentral. Lineage: Eukaryota; Viridiplantae; Streptophyta; Magnoliopsida; Arecales; Arecaceae.